GCAUCCUUGGUGUAGCGAAAACACACAUCUUGGAAAUUACAUAUGUAUUGGGCAGCAUUUAAAUAAGAUGAGACCGGGGUUCAACUCCCCGAGGGCGCA
Molecule: non-coding RNA, 99 nt
Organism: Mycena galopus ATCC 62051
Lineage: Eukaryota; Fungi; Basidiomycota; Agaricomycetes; Agaricales; Mycenaceae
Source: the annotation of a GenBank genome assembly